UACGUAGGGUGCAAGCGUUGUCCGGAAUUAUUGGGCGUAAAGAGCUCGUAGGCGGUUUGUCGCGUCUGCCGUGAAAGUCCGGGGCUCAACUCCGGAUCUGCGGUGGGUACGGGCAGACUAGAGUGAUGUAGGGGAGACUGGAAUUCCUGGCGUAGCGGUGAAAUGCGCAGAUAUCAGGAGGAACACCGAUGGCGAAGGCAGGUCUCUGGGCAUUAACUGACGCUGAGGAGCGAAAGCAUGGGGAGCGAACAGG
This 253-nucleotide ribosomal RNA is filed under the name uncultured bacterium. Its description in RNAcentral is "partial 16S ribosomal RNA". It matches the Rfam family "Bacterial small subunit ribosomal RNA", at positions 524 to 776 of the family's 1533-position model. The record is from RNAcentral.